GCACUUCGCAGACAGAUAGGUGUUCCUAAUAGUUGGGUCCACCACUGUGUGCGGUUCGAUCGAGUGAAGCUAAUAAAAUAACCGACGCGACGAGCUAAAAUGUUCGAAGGCAACUAAAAGCAGCAAACGGAAAUUCUUAGCCGCCGACCGGCAAACAAUCGCAUCA
Molecule: small RNA, 166 nt
Filed under: Drosophila erecta
Lineage: Eukaryota; Metazoa; Arthropoda; Insecta; Diptera; Drosophilidae
Description: GG26402
Source: RNAcentral